Molecule: long non-coding RNA, 1245 nt
Filed under: Homo sapiens (human)
Lineage: Eukaryota; Metazoa; Chordata; Mammalia; Primates; Hominidae
Description: HSALNT0254238
Source: RNAcentral
CUGUCGGGGGCUUGCUCAUGUCCGGGGCAGCCUGAGACGGAGGCGGUGGGAAAGCCAGAGGUGCUGCCCCGGGAGUGGCUGGAGGAAGAGGAGGAGGGACCAGGAAGGCAAGGCACACAGCGAGAGGAGCGCAGGAUGGAGAAGACCUGAGGGGACUGAGAGGCGAACGAGGCAGCGGCUGGAGCGGGCGGGCCGAGGGUAGACGUGGGAGGGCCAAGCAGGGACCCGCACAGACACUGUGUGCCCGAGACACAGGCGGGGUCCCUGACAGGGACAUGGCCAUGACCUUCAGUCAGUGGAGAGGAAGAGGGAGGAGGUGGCGGGGAGGGGGACACAGACCCGUCUCAGAAGAUGCAGAAAGGCCAAGGGAAGGGGACACACUCUCUGGGAGGACCCGCUAAGCAGCGCCGCAGCGUCUCUCCGGCCCUCCACUCGCCUGACACCCAAGGGACACUUUCAAAGCCCAACAGCUAAGGACAUGUGGCCACGUGCUGGCCCCGAAGUGCUCUGUACACCAGUGUGGACUCAGCGACACUCGCCACGUCCCGUCCACACGGGACAGGACAGGACGCGAGGAGAAGGGGCGCCAGCUCUGGGCAGCCGGAGGGGGACCGGGAGGAUCUAGAAGCAACCCUCAGAUUCCCGCGCGCUCAAGUUUCCCAAGAUCAGAGGCAGUAUUGGAACACAGCAUCGGUGAUGAAACAACGUAUUUAGAAGUAGACAUUUUCGCAAACUGCAGGAGUGUCUGAAACCACAGGGCUCGCCUGGUCCGGGCACAGUGCAAGAGGCGCUGGGUCCUGGGGGAGGCGCCCUGAGCGCUGUCUAGGAAUGCGGCUGUCAAGAGGCGACAUCACCACUGAGGAAGCGGGACAGAAACACCUGAAACUUCGUUUACACCCCACUGGAGCAAAGCCGCUCCCUCCUCUGACUGCGGGACUGGCCUGUACCUGUGUGAUAUAAUUUAGCACCUGGAGAAGAGAAAUCUAAAGAGAUAUCGUUAAUCACACACAAUUCACAGAGAGAAAAGGAAAAACAGCUUACUUAACAUCACUGUACUUUACUAUGAAACACUUAAGUACGUCACUAAGCAUGUAUGUCUAAAUUAAGUUACGACUAAGACUUAACAGCGUAACCGACAUGGAGGAGGAGCACUCCUAACCGUGGGGAGGGAGGUUCAAAUGGCAAACUAUGCUCCAGCAUGGUGGGCAUGCUGCGGCGCCACCUGGCGCUCGGGGCUGCCCCGAC